GGAAUCUUGGACAAUGGGCGAAAGCCUGAUCCAGCCAUGCCGCGUGAGUGAUGAAGGCCCUAGGGUUGUAAAACUCUUUCGGCGGGGACGAUAAUGACUGUACCCGCAGAAGAAGCUCCGGCCAACUUCGUGCCAGCAGCCGCGGUAAUACGAAGGGGGCUAGCGUUGUUCGGAAUUACUGGGCGUAAAGCGCGCGCAGGCGGUUCUUCAAGUCAGAGGUGAAAGCCCCGAGCUCAACUCGGCAAUUGCCUUUGAGACUGGAGGACUUGGGUACGGGAGAGGUGAGUGGAAUUCCGAGUGUAGAGGUGAAAUUCGUAGAUAUUCGGAAGAACACCAGUGGCGAAGGCGGCUCACUGGCCCGUUACCGACGCUCAGGCGCGACAGCGUGGGGAUCAA
RNAcentral lists this ribosomal RNA (396 nucleotides) under uncultured bacterium. Its description in RNAcentral is "bacterial SSU rRNA". It matches the Rfam family "Bacterial small subunit ribosomal RNA", at positions 358 to 771 of the family's 1533-position model. The record is from RNAcentral.